Molecule: ribosomal RNA, 448 nt
Filed under: uncultured bacterium
Lineage: Bacteria
Description: bacterial SSU rRNA
Rfam family: Bacterial small subunit ribosomal RNA
Source: RNAcentral
UUCCAGACUCCUACGGGAGGCAGCAGUGGGGGAUAUUGCACAAUGGGGGAAACCCUGAUGCAGCGACGCCGCGUGGGUGAAGAAGCGCCUCGGCGCGUAAAGCCCUGUCAGCAGGGAAGAAAAUGACGGUACCUGAAGAAGAAGCCCCGGCUAACUACGUGCCAGCAGCCGCGGUAAUACGUAGGGGGCAAGCGUUAUCCGGAUUUACUGGGUGUAAAGGGGGCGCAGACGGCGAUGCAAGCCAGGAGUGAGAGCCCGGGGCCCAACCCCGGGACUGCUCUUGGAACUGCGUGGCUAGAGUGCAGGAGGGGCAGGCGGAAUUCCUGGUGUAGCGGUGAAAUGCGUAGAUAUCAGGAGGAACACCGGUGGCGAAGGCGGCCUGCUGGACGGAUACUGACGCUGAGGCCCGAAAGCGUGGGGAGCGAACAGGAUUAGAUACCCUGGUAGU